This 18445-nucleotide long non-coding RNA is filed under the name Fragaria vesca (wild strawberry). RNAcentral's name for it is "long non-coding RNA (FVES_LNC002316)". Lineage: Eukaryota; Viridiplantae; Streptophyta; Magnoliopsida; Rosales; Rosaceae. The record is from RNAcentral.
UAUAGCCGACGAGUAUCUUACAUGUUUCGUCGGCUAUAAGUCCAUUCCAGUAAAAAAAAAAUACCUGAAAUUUCUAAAUUAUCAUUCCAAGCAAGCUGCAAAAUACACCAAAACAAUUUCAUACAUAUAACCAACAACAAGCACAUAAAACUAUAUAAUUGAUCAACUACACAAAAUCUAGAUUGUCUAAAUCAAUAUCCGAUUCUGGGGGCUGCUGCUAAGGAGUUUGUGGCGGCUGAGGUAGCGGUAGAGGCGUAGGCAUGGGCGGAGCUGGAAGUCCCUGAAGCUGGGCAGCUGUAAACUCUUGCAAGUACUGGAACAUCUACUGCUGCUGGGCCUACUGGGCGGCAUAUACCGCGGCAGUAUAAGCUCUCUGGUCGGUGAUCUGGGCGACAUGAGUGGUAGCCUGAGCAGCUUGCUGUUCCCGUAGUCUCUCAACUUCCGACUCUAGCUAAGUUGUCCUGCUGCUGGUCGAGGCUGCCUUUCGUUGAAAUCCUGGAGUGGUCUUCAGGACCCCCUCGCCCUUUUUUCCUAAACCCCGGCAGUAGAAGUUGUUUUCUCGUGGUGGGAGGGCUGUGCCCAUUAUCCUCGCUCCAACCCUCGGAUCUGAAGUGUCGAUCCGGGACAUGGCUUCGGACAUCUCUUCCUCUUGCGUGUCAGGCCAUGUCUCCUUCACUAUAGCACUCAUCACCUCGUCACUAGCCUCCCUCACCUUCGCCUAAUUGGAUAGGAAAAAAAUGAUUAAUUAACAUUUUGACAUAUAUAUAAGUAAAAUUAAAAAUUUAAAAACGUAAGAUGACUUACAAUAUCCUCCUAGGCGUCAAGAUAUGCCUUUUCGUACGUAUAGACGUACCGGUUGACUUCUGGAUGUUCCCUGGCCGCCUCGUCCAUGAAGAUAGCGAACGGUCUAGAACCGGCACGAUGGUUCCUUGUGUUGCGUUGCCGGUUCUAAGCGUUCGCCCGGGAAACGGUCUUCAAAGAAAAAAAUAAACUAUUAGUAAAAUAUUUAAAAACGGACGUACUUAAUGACAAAUUAACUAAUUAAUUUUUUUAAAUACAUGUUUACGAGGGUUGUUGAAUUCUGAUGUCAAAAACCAACGCCACUCGUACUCCCUGUACUGGAACUCAGCAGGGGUAUCAGAACGUGCGUUCUCGUGCGUAGUCCAGUGGGUCCACAACUCGUUCUUCCACUCCUUGUACCUACAGAUACAACAAAAAUAUUAGAAAUAUUAUUAAUAUCACAUACAAUUUUGUUUUUUCAUUAACUUCCCAACGUAACUUCCCCCAUGCACAACGUCCGCCCAGCUGUUCUUCAAGUGCUCGGGAACCUCAAACCACCCCUGCAUUUAACCGUUUAUUAGUUUAGUUUUUCGAGAAAUCAACAAUGUAAUACAUAAUAUUAUUGAGGCGUUUUGUAAACUCACCGACAUCGCGUUGUGGACCAUGUCUUUAACCUCAUGCGGGACCUCGCCCCAGUCUGACCACAACAUAGGGACUCUAUCUCUAAUGAGCGCUUCCACGCGGCCGGAGUACGUCCUCGACUUCCCGCCCGAUACUAUGUGGCCAUCCCCGUCAGUACCGAUGACGAUCCUCCUUGUGGUACUGACGGUCUUCUCGAAAGCCUUCCCUGUGACGAGGUCUCUCUUCUUCUUUGUCGGCUUCGCUCCGACGGUGCCUAUCACAUGAUAAACCAAAUUGAUUAUUAAAAUCAGAGACCCUUUAUUAUUAAUUAUAAGAAAACAAAUCAUUCAUCUUUCAUUACCUGAGGGCGAUGCGGCGGACGUGACGGAUUCCGUCUCUGUCGCCGAUGAUGAUACCCUCGCGGAAAUAAGAGGCGUAUCAAAAGGCACGAACUGGUACGCCGUUGAUGGAGCCACUGGCGGGGGCAGUGGAUAAAUCGACGUCCCUGAGCCAUCAACUCCAGGUAAGGCCGGUAUCAUCCGCGGAAGGAACAGAUGAGGCGGCGGCAUCUGUACCCCAUCUGACCCACCAUCCGAAGCAGUAGGACCCGAAGUGGGCGCCCAGUGUAUCUCAAGCAUACGGGGUGCAGACACCUCCGUCUGGGUCUGAGGCCACAGUUGCCUCGAGGAACUAGGGACGACCGGCUGCCUCGAUGAAGGGGACACCUCCGGCUGCCUCGAGGAAUGGGAAACGCUCGGCUGCCUCUGUGUCGUCUCCAGAAGGGUCGCACGUCUGGCUGUCAUGGGGCCUUAAAACGACGUUUGAGGGUUGCUAGAGGUUCCCUUAGACGAUUCAGACCUUUGGCCCUUCGAACCCUUCGUCGAUCUAAAAUUACCGCUCAUCCUGUUUAAAAUAUUAAUUUGAAUCAAGGCUGAGGAAGAAAAGUGAAUUAUUAUAUCUUUUUACUAAAAAGAUAUGUGGAGGUGCCCUGUAGGAGUUAAGGAGUAGAUUUGGGUAGAAUUUUUUUAUUAUAUUCCAAAGAUAACAAGAAAGAUAACAAUCAGCAGAACUCCAAACGUUUAUUACCUCAAUUUUUAAGCACCUAAAAAUCGAUUUACGACAUACCAAUGUCCCAAAUAACCAUGUACUUGCACACAGUUAAUCUCAUUCACAGCACCAAUCAACAAAAUCACUCACAAACAACUGCACAUUCCCUCAACAUUCUAAUGAACCUAAAAAAAGAGACGCUACUAUCCACCAUUCCGAAUUCCACAUCAACACAAAUGCUUAACAAUGUCGCUCUUUGUUUUGCUCUAAUCAUAUAUGUGAAUCACUAAACUAAUUUACUAACUGAUCUAGACUACAUGAAACUUAAUAACGACACACCACACGUAAAUCAUACACAAAAUCAAUAGGCAUCGAAAAUAUCCACAAUAUUUCAGCAACCAUAGAUUAAAACUUGCAUAAUCCAAACCACAAUGAAGUCACACAAACAACAACCAUAAAUAUAUUCAUCAUAAACCAAUCCACAAUAUCAAUACCGCAUAAAAACCCUAAAUUCCCAAAUUCGAAACCCUAGAAUGACAUAUCGAAAUCAAAAUCAGAGGAUUACACCACCUGGCGAGCGACGAGUAGGUGAGCAAGUAGAGCAGGUGGAGCCGGUGGAGCAAGCGAGCAUGAGAGGGAGAGGGCAACCAGGAGAGGGAGACCGGGAGAGGGAGAGGGCGACCGGGAGCGCGGUGAAAGCUCGCGGAGGCGGAGGUGGACCGGGCUUUAGGGUUUUUUCGUCGCUCUGUGGAGGCUGUCGAGCGCUGGGUUUUCUACGGUCCCGAUACCUUUAGCCGACAAAAUACUUACUUCGUUGGUUAACAUUUGAAAUUCGUCGGCUAAAAUUUGAAAUUCGUCGGCUAACCUUGAAUUUCGUCGGCUAAACCUAUGAAAUUCAUCAGCUUAAUCUUGAAAUUCGUCGGCUAACCCUUGAAAUUCGUCGGCUUACUUUUUAUACAUUCGGCACAUUGUGAUUGUGAUGAUCAAACUUGAGAAACGAAAAUCCGACCGUCAGAUCUGACCAUCAUGAUAAAAUACAUGUAUAGGAAAAAAUUCAACUUGAUCGGACAAGGUUAAGGGCUCGAUCCGGAAGGUUAAUCUGUUAAGUCAAACCCCUAAACUCACAGAACAGGUCAUUGGACCGUCUAAAUUACGUAUUUUGGCCGGAUUUUCAACUGAAAAUAGUUUCAAACCGAUGAGACGCAACAAGUCGUAUAAAAAUUUUACGGAAAAUAACCACCGAAGAUAAGGCUACCCAUAGGGAGAAAGAAUGGAAAAUUGCAUUGACCGCAACUAUCGUCACAUAGACUUUACCGGAAUACCGUGAUUUUUCAACCGUAGACGUAUUUCACCAUUCUAGUCAUAUCUUAUUUCACGACUUUUUUGCGUUUAAAGGAUCUACGUAUAGUUUGUUUUUAAAAUGGAACAUUUACUAAACACUUGGUAAACAAGUUAUACAACAUUAGUAGGCAUGUCGUGGUUGUGAUGAUCAAACUUGAGAAACGAAAAUCCCACCGUCAGAUCUGACCAUCAUGAUAAAAUACAUGUAUGGGAAAAAAUUCAACUUGAUCCGAUGAGGUUAAGGGCUCGAUCCGGACGGUCAAUCCCGUAAGUCAAACCCCUAAACACACGGAAAAGGUCAUUGGACCGUCUAAAUUACGUAUCUUGGCCGGAUCUUCAACUGAAAAUAGUUUCAAAUCGAUGAGACGCAACAAGUCGUAUAUUAGGAUAUUCGUCGGCUAAGGUUUAGGGUUUAGGGUUUAGAGUUUAGAGUUUAAGGUUUAGCCGACAAAAUAUUAUGGUAUUUAUCGGCUAACCUCAUCUUAGCCGACGAAUUAUGGUAUAUUUUGUCGGCUAAAGUAUAAAAAAUACAUUAAAAAAAUAGAAGGUUUAAUGUAAACCAUACUAACUUCAUGUUCAUAUAUCACCAAAAUUCAUAUAAAAUAACAGAAAUAUGAAUUCAACAUAUGUAAACUAUAAAGGUAAUACAUUCUUUUUUAUUACAAAUUAAUGUAAUUAUAAUUAAAACUAAGGCUCGUAAUCGGAAUCAUCCGAUGAGUCUUCUUUGGUGUCAGAAUUAAUUUCUGGUAAUCUAUGCAUUUCCUCAUCGCCAGAGUCUUCGUCUGUUUCUUGAUUUGGAUCAACAUUAAUAAGCCUUGGCUCUUCAUCACGAAUUCGCACCGAACGACCCGCUUUAAAAUUAUUAAGGCGAACGGUAGAGGAGUUUGGAAUACCUAUUGCGCUGGGCUCUUAAUACGCAACAUUUUCUUCCUCGUCUUCGGCCUCUUCAAGUGCAGCCGCCCGGUAAAUGUUACGAGGGUGUACAUGGUUGACUACUUUCCACGCGUCACCCUUAGCAAGGUCAUCAAGAUAAAACACUUAUUUUACCGAUGUGGUAAAAACGAACGGGUCAUCUUCGUAACAAUUUGUAGCAGUAUUCACCGAUAAUAUUCCGUACUGAUCGGUCUUUAUGCUCUGCGGCCUAGUAUCAAACUAUCUACACUUGAAGAGGUGCACUGUCAUGCCUUGCCCAUAAACGAGUUCCACCACUGAAUGGAGAACACCGUAAUAGUCAACUCUAUUCCGCCCUCCAUGCGCCAUCACCCCAGAAUUCUGUGUUCUCCGUCUGCUGUCUCUCUGUUCACAUAUAAAUUGCACGCCAUUCACCUUGCACAUCAGAUAAACUCUUGACAUUAUCGGCAUCAUCGCUAGAAGUCUUAGUUCGUGAGACCAAUUUGGGUGACCAUCAAAUUGAAUAUGGUUCAUCUGCAACCAAACAUUCAACUGUAAAUAUGGAUAGUUAUGCAAUAAACAUAAAUACGUACAGAAAUAUUGAAUUACAUACCCAGCCGCCAAAAUAGUUUGCGAACUCCCUGUUGUGGUACUCAAGAUCAUCUUGAAUGUCUGGACAAUAUAGAUGGAUGUCUUUCCAGUAUUCAACUUCUGGACAGUUAAUCAAUACCCACCAGUGGGUAAUGACUAGCUCAUGUGGUUGCAACUUGUAGGAGUCUGGCAAAACUCCAUAAACUUCAACAUCACUAGAGAGUAUGGAAAGGUUGAACCCGUCAGAUGAGAGCCCGAGCCUCACAUUUCGGAUCUCUGACGCAAAAUGAGGAAACUCCCUGUCUAUAUGCUUCCAAGCCUCCCCGUCAGCAGGGAGUAUAAGGGUAUCUUCAUCAUGCAAUUCCCUAUCAGCGUGCCAUCUCAUAGCUUCGGCCGUGUGUGAAGACAUGUACAACCGCUCCAGCCUAUCCCUCAACGGGAAAUACUGAAGUACCUUCACAGGUUUCCUAUUGCCUGCAGGAGUCAGCUUAUAGCUGUCAGUGUGACAUACCGGACAUGCGUCAAGGCCACCAAGGUCAUUCCCUUCUGGAUCUUUACCCUAGAAGAGAACGCAGUCAUAUCUGCAUGCAUGGAUCUUGAUGUAGGAAAGCCUAAGAUCUUUCAGGAUACAUCGGACCUUAUGAUGAGUGGUAGGAAGACGAUGACCGUGAGACAGUAUCGAAGCAGUGUACUGUAGAUAAUCAUCAACAGCCUUCACGGUCGAUUUGUCUCAACUUUAAUCUUCAUUAUGUCCAUCACAUUUUCAAGAACUGUCUUCUGAUAACCGGGGUACACAAGGGUCUGUUGGAAAGCAAGCAGUUUGUUGUACUUGUCAAUACCAGCAGUGUUGACAACUCUAGGGAAGGGCUGCAUCGGCUCAGGCAUAUACUGUCCUUGAGCGCCUACACCGCUCUCAUAAGAAAACAUGUCGUUGAUGAAGGCCGUUGUUGGAUCGUUGGAUGUACUGCCCGUCUCAGAAAAUUGCUCAUGAUCAUGCGGACCCCCUGAUGAUGUUUCACCGUGAUAUAACCAACAUGUGUACUUCUCCCAAAACCCGUUACUCUUCAGGUGCUGCCAUACUUUGUUAAUCGCAAAUCGAUGCAUAUGGCUGCGACACUGACAUUUCGUGCACGGGCAAUAGAAAAUUGUAUUCCCGUUAGCAUUAGCCAGCGCAUAUUCCAUAAAACUCAUAACUCAUUUACCAUAUCUUUUGUCCCAUUUUGGAAGCGAAAUCGAACUCUUAUCCAUAUCCAGAAAAUAUAACAAAAUAUAUAUGUAUAACUCUAGCUAAUUAUUAAUUAAAUUCCAUAUAUAAAAUUUCAAUUCAUUUAGUAUUCUACGUACUACAACUAAUUAAUAACAAAUUAAUUAACACAUAUAUAUACUUAAUAAUUACAUAACAAUAUUAUAUAUCAACAUCAUCAUCAACUCAUAUCAUCAACAACUUCAUACCGUCAACACAAUAUUAUAAAUUAAUUAACAUAUAUAUAUGUACUACUUAUUAACAACAACUUCAUAUAUAUUAUCAAAUCAUCAACCAAAUCGAUCAACUCAAUCACACCCAAAAUCGAUCAACUCAAAUAAAACUCAAAAUCAACAUAAAUACACAUGUAUGUACCUAUAUAUAGCUCCACAAACUAAUUAUGGACAGAUUUCGACAACACCCAAACUUUUUCUCCCAUUUUUUCUUCUCCCGUUUUUUUUUCCCAGAUGAGCUGCUGUCCAGAUCUGCAAAUAUAAGGCACUUUAGCCGACGAUAUUUUAAGUUCGUCAACUAAAUAAUUUUAAAGUCGUCGGCUAAAGUUCACAUACUAUAGCCGACGAAAAAAAUUCUUUAAGCCGGCGAAAAUUUAAUUUCGUCGGCUAUGGUCCACUUUAACCGACGAAAAAAUAGUUCGUCGGCCUGGUUUUUUUAUUUUCGUCAGCUAAAGCCUUUUUCCUGGUAGUGACAUAAAAUAUAAGAAAAUAUAAUGAUCGAUAAAUUUAUUAAAAUAAUUAUGAAGUUGUAUAACUUUUUCUUUCCGUUGUUAUAUGCAUGUGAUAUUGUGUUCACCAGAUCAGCCACCACACUGUUGGAUGUAGAUCUAAUACUGAGGAGAAUAAUAAUUAUGGGUUGUUUUGUUUCUCGCAGUUAGAUCGAUUUACAUUCAUUAACGGUUGAGUAUUAUUUUGUUAGUUAAUAACUGUUCGGGUGAAUAUAUUUUCAUGGACACCUAAUUGAUCAUGGAAGAAAUUAGGAAUCUUCUGAGUCAGUGACACCACACACCUGAUAUCUUUUUAAUCGAGAGCAACGAUUGAUCACAAACAUAAUACUUCAAGUGAACAUUGAAUAACUAAUUAUAUUAAAUUAUAAAUUAAUCCAGUGAUUCAGAAACAUGCCAACUUGAACAAAUUGCGCUCUAAACUAUUAUGCUUAUUAUACUAUAGAAUGUGGUAUGGUUUGAUGCAAGAAGUUGAGAACAAUGUAACGUACUAUCUCAAUGUAACGUACAGAUAGUACAUAACUAAUCUUGUUCCAAAAGUAUAUAUAUUCUGGACCUAUGGUCCAUAAGAAUACAACUUGACCAAUAAAGCGUGACUUUACCUUCUAGCUACUCCAUCGGCAAAGAGGAAGUCAGGAAGAUGCCACUCUAGUUUGGCAUUGGGUUUGAAAAGGGAAUCACUACUGGAAAAUAGCACUUAAACGACGGAAUUAAAAAAUUUCGUCUCUUUAGUGGUAUUUAAGCGACGAAAUUUUCUAUUUAAGAGACGAAACAGUUUCUGUCUCUUAAAUUGUUCUUAGGAGACGAAAUAUUUUGAUUUCGUCUCCUAAGAACGACUUGGGAGACGGAAUGCUUAAGUACUACUUAGAGACGGAAUAUUUUUACUUAGACAACGGCAUUUUAAAAAAAUAAAAAUUUAUAUGAAUCACUUAGGAGACGGAACUACAUUUCGUAACACCACCAUAAAGUUUUGCCCCUCAGCCCUGUCGACAGAGGUGACGAUGCACCACGAGCCUCCACCCCCCAAAAACAACAUCGGAGGUCAAAAGUUUUUGAAAGACAAGGUUGAGAACUCCAUCGAAGAAAGCAGACGGGUCUCACAGAGAAUAGGAUGAAAGAUGGAGACCGGAAUGAGAAGAGAGGUAUCCACCAGUCCGAGUCGCAAUCAAGAAAAUCUGGGGCUAGUCUCGUCGUUUCAUAGAGAACCUCUGAUCUCAUUUAAUUAAAACAUUCUAGCUAGACUACUUCUAACGCCUUCACCUUUGUAAUGAGAAACAUCUCCAUUUACCAUAUAAUAGUGAAUUACGGAUUAACGUUGUAUUUUGGAAGUCCUACUUGAGUAUGUUGUAUGUUAUAUUGAAUAUUUUUUUAAUGAGGACGCUGUCAAGCUCCAAUGACGUAUUGCUAAAUUAAAAUUUUAAUAUAAAUAUUACAGUUUAUUGUAGUUUAUCAUUAAAGGGGGAUGAAAUAUCAAUGACAUUAUACAAUAUGUCACACGUACGUACUGUUCUAUUUUAAUCAUAAUGGUUUGAAUUAUUUGUUUCCCAAGAUUGGUCAUGUGAAGAAGCACACACAAACAUGCGGUUGGGAAGCAAAUAGUAAAUAUAGGAUUGAUUUUUUUUUUUUUUUUAAUCAAAAGGUCAUACGAUUUAAAUCAGAGCAAGCAGUAUAAAGACGACGUACCCUUGUAGGGUCGUCAGAAAACAUCGUCUUGCAGAAUUGCAAGUCCUAUACUAGAUAAAGCAUAAGCUUUGAAAUCCUAAGUACACCCACCUUAUAGCAAUUAAGCACAAUUAUUUUACAGGUAAAACUAGGUUUCGGAGAAAACUAUCAAGACUCUUCGAAAAUCACUAGUUACCUGGACCAUAACUUAUUCUAAAUUAGGGGCCAAAGCCCAAAUUCAUCCGCCAGAGCCUAAUCAGAUGAAACCCUAGCUGAUGCAGCCCAAGGCCAAACAAGCCCAACUUCUAGAGAAGCCUUGAGAGAAACCCAAGCAACCUUCAUCUUCUCCCCGCCGUCAUCACCAUCAGAUAGUAGCGGCGCCGUUGGAACAAAAUUUAGAAUCAGAGCCAAAGCACCACCAUCCUCCCUAACAACGGAAAUAUGGUGAAUACCUGGUUCAUGCCCUCUUGCCGAGAUCUGAGACGCAAAGAUCUGAAUUGAGGGCUCCCAACUGCAGCCAAACAAGCCACCACCGAGUGCUCCAAUCCUCUUCAACGUUCCCAUUCCAUCCCAAGCCACAAGUCAAUCGGCCUGUAUUGUUUCCUCCCUUGUAUCAAACCCAAAGGCAAGAACAAAAAGAGAACAACCAAGACCUUUGUUUAGGAGAUUCUGAUGAACAAAGCCGCCAUCACCAUCACAAGUUGGACUCGACAUCCACCACCGCCCAUAUAAGGCACGAUAGAGCCAUCCAUCACUGCCUUUGAUUGGAGAAAAAGAGACUGGAGAAGAGAUCUCUUUCCUCAUCAAAAGAGAAUUAUCGUUGCCCGUCAGUUUGGGAGUUUUGUCGACCGCCGCCGCCGAGUAAAACCCUAGCAGAGCUAGGGAGAGAGACAUCUUAACCCUUGAAGAUGUUGGUUGUAAAUAUAGGUAUUGUAUUUUCGCGUAUCACUUAGAGUAACUUCAACAGAAUCUGUAUAAUAUAUGUAUUAUAUAGAGAAGCCAAAGUCAAAAUCUUGAGAAGUUUUUUGCUCCAACUUUACAGAUUUGUAUUUAUUACAAUAAUAAAAUAUUCUACGUCCCUACUACAUGUAAAGCGAAAAUAAAAGAAACGCUAUUUUUUCUUCUUAAGCUUCUGCUCGCAUUUGAUUAGCAAUGAAGCUAAUAAAACAUUUUUGAUCUAGAGGAGAAAUACUCUUGUUCUUCUCCCCCCACCUAGGAUGCUGGGAAGGGUGGCUCCUGGCCCAAUUAAAAGGGUGAGUGGGGCAGUGACUAGUCAAGAAGGGAUCGGUGCAGCGCGGUGGAUGGCGUUGGUGUGGGGCACGCGGUGGUGGAAGCUUCUAGGCUUCCCAGAUUACAGGUGGUUGUUGGCGGUCCAAAGUUUGUCUAGAUCGAAGACAGAGAGUCCGGUAUGCCUUAGGGAAGUCUGGAUAUGCACAUCGGGGUCGACGGGUUGCUGCAUAUGUUCUUCGGGUUGGACGGUGUGAGAUUGAGAUCAGUGUCUCAAUCGUUUGGUCAAGGAACGGAGCUCAGGCUUCAGAUGGGGACGACAUCGGCCGAUGUGCAACGAUGUAGACUUCGAGUUGGCAAAUGAGCCAAAUCAACCUCUAAGCAUGGGCUUAGGGUUGGUUCGACUUUUUAUUUUACCUUUAGGUCAUUUUCUUUAUCGCAUAAUAAAUUUGGGUAAUUGUACUAAACAAGGCGUCAUUCCGCAUACUCUACAAUGUAGUGUGCAUGAUGACAUUAUCAGUGAUCUGCCCUAGCUUUAAAUCAAGCCAACUUGAUGGCUCUUUAUUUAAAAUCAUUUAGGUCUUUUAAUUCUGUUAACAUUUUAUUUUAUUUAUAAUGUAACCGUCAUGUUUAUUUCGAUUUAAUAAAAGUUUUCUCUUAUACAGUUACGCUCAAGGUUCAAACAUGAUUAAAGUUUGCUCUUAUACGGUUAACUUCAAUUUUGAUGAUUAUGUAGUAACACUGUUUGAAAUUCAUAAUAUUCGAUGAAAAGAAUUCCUUUUCCUAUAAAAGAAAUCAAAUGGAUUAAUCAUGAGUCCAUGACCAUGUUGGAUUAUAUUGGAUUAAUACAAAUCUAAAAACAUGUCCAAAUGUCUAUGUUUAUAAUGUUCUUAAUUUGUAGUUUUGGCUGUCUUUUGGGUAAAGAGACACUGGAAUGUGUGCACCUGCUAGAUUGCAAGUGCCUCAAGCACCCGCCAAGUUAGGUCACCAAGGAGGCGCUAGCAAAGCUAGCACGUGUACGCGUCACACAUCGUUUAGGAAAGACAAGUUGUUGUGUUUUAUAUGCGGAGUCAGCUCAUUACAUUGAGACGCGUUUUGAGGUCAAACCUGACAUUAUGUAAUGUUUCAUCAAGUUUGCUUGAGGUGACCUACACCAAGGUAUAAUCUGGGGCAGAAUACGAAAUGAUUCUAAAACCAGUUAUUUGUAACAAAUCAUUAAUAAUGUCAUCAUGCACACUACUUUAAAGAGUAUGUGGAAUGACGCCUUGCUAUGUACGGUUACCUAAGUUUGCUCUUAUACGGUUACGCUCGAGGUUCAAAGAGCAUUAGUAUCAACAACAAAAAAGAUCAAAGAGCAAAUUGUUUUAUGUGUACAACGAAAGAGAGUCAUCAAUAUUAAUAGAAUACUAUACAAAGCACUUGAUAUUAUUCGAUCCCAAUAAUGAUGUCCCCCAUUUGGCCAAUUUGGGGCCAUAGACACCUUCCAAAGAGAAAUAACAGUAACUUAACUUGUUAGGUUUUACCUUUCACUUCUAGUCUUAAACUCCUGAUCUUAAUUACCAUGCAUGCAUGAAUUAAUAACAUUCCAAUACAUAGAUAAGAGAUCAAUCGAAACCGUUUUAUAGAAGAAAAUAAAAGUGACGAUCUAUUACUAAUUUAGGUCUUCUUUUUGCCGAAUUGAAAAAGUAUCUUCUAAUUAUUGAAAUAAAUUUAGAUUUGUUUAUUAGGAGCCUCUCUCUCUCUCUCUGCUAGGGGUGGUAGAGCGUCGCCUCUGGCCUCUCGGAAAACCUCUCCAUCUUCGAUAGAUACCUCUGCAGUGUCAUCCUAGGCAUCUCUCAUCUUUAAUAUGUGAGCUGCUUUAUCCACAAGGAAAUCAAAGGCCUAUUUUGGGCGGUUGGAGAAGCAACGGCUCGAUAACAAUAUAAGAAGUGGUGGGCAGCUUGACGGUGAUCCACCGGUCUUGGCUGGCUGUGGUUUAACUGAGAGGGACAGAGGCGGAGAGCCCCCAUUCUUGAUUUUUUUUCUUUUUUCAAGUUUGGGUGAAAUUCUAAUGAACAUACAAAACCUAAGUUGCAACAAACAAAAUUAAUAUAAUUAGAUCUGCUCUUCAUAAACAAACUUGGGAUUUGCGAUCCCAAUCCCAAGUAAGAUCGGUUCAGGAUCAUGGGAUCCUUUUUUAUCAAAUAAGGAAGGGUCGUUGCACAAAAUUUACUUCUAAGUAAUUGCUCCAUAGAUCCUAUAUCUAUCUAUAUGAUGAAGAAAUCAUGUAACGAGGGGGUUAUUAUUUGUACAAAUGGUACUUCGAACUUAGAACAAGUAUGAAGAAAUUAACGAUACUUCUUUAUCUUUUGAGUUGUUCUGCCAGAUCAGUCGCUCAAGACCUUUGGUUUCUACCCAAAAAAAACUGGAUUACUUCAUAUGGACUUGUUCAAAAAUGGUAAAACCAUUAGUGCUUUCUCUUUAUAAUUUUUUACUCUUAACAAAAAAAUGUUAGAAGUCUAAAAAUCAUAUCAAACUCAUGCAAACUAAAAACAUUAUGUAUUCAAAUCUAUCUAAAAUAUCUAACUCCCUUUCUUUUUUUUCUUUUGAGAAUGAAAGGAACUUUUAUUCAUCAAGAAAACCAAAUUACAAACUAUGGGAACUAUCAGUGGAAGACUUAGAAGUCCCACUUGUUUCCCUACUACUACAUAUAGUUACGGGUCUAUCACCAUUGAUGACAUCCAUGAGCCAAUCGGGCCCAACCCCUAACCAGAAAUGAUGCCCCUCUAACCGGGAUACUCUAGUUGCCCUAGAAUGUGCCACACAAUUCGCACCUCUUGGAACAUAACAAAUCUCCUGCAGACCAAUACUAGUUAACAAAGAUGAUUUUUUCAACCAAAUAUCUAACUCCCCUUGAUGCAAGCAUACCAACUGAAAAAUCUCUUUGUCAAAGAGGUUGAAACCGAUGACAUCACUUCCUUCUGUUCUACCUUGUCCUCCUUCUUAGGCUCAACAGGUUACACAACACCACCACCACGAUAUGCAUGUAGAGGCACCCACAGCCACCUCGCCCCCGUCAGAGAGCAUGCAUAAAUGCUGAGUCAUCCCUUCCAGGUGCAAUGAUCUCAGUGAUGUAUAUAUACUUUUUCAAAUAAGGACCUAUCUACCUUAGUUAAGGUACGGAUUUUCUUAAUUUGACCAACUUUCUGAUCAUAUUUUCUCAUCAUAGUCGUUCACUAUUUAGAUAUACAUGACUUGAUCAUUUAUAAAAAAUUUCAGCUAAUUUGGUUAUCGUUAAGGUAUCGAAAAUGUAUUAAAUCAAUGAAUGAACCGAAUCUGUUCAUCCUGAAUCAUACGUUCUAUUAGUUCUAAAUCAUAGUUUUAAAUGCCUUAAUGAUUAUCAAUUUGGCUGAAAAUUUAUUGAGAUGAUCUACUCAUAUAUACCUAAAUUUUGAACGGUUGAGAUGAGAAAAUAUGAUCGAAAAGUGGGUCAAAUAAUGAAAUCCGUACUUUAUCCAAGGUAAGGAGGUCCUUACCUGAUAAGCAUUAUAUAUAUAUAUAUAUAUAGAUAUAGAUAUUAGCAUGUCCAAAUAUCCGUAUUUAUUCAAAAGGUAUGGAUUUUCUUAAUUGACCCACUUUUAGAUCAUAUUUUCUCAUCUUAACCAUUCACAUUGUAGGUAUAUAUGAGUAGAUCAUCUCUACAAAUUUUCAGCCAAAUUGAUAAUCUUAAGGUAUUGAAACUAUAUGAUUACAAUGAACAAACCAAAUCUGUUCAACAUGAACCGUUCGUGUAAUUCACAAUUUUGAAUACCUUAAUGAUUAUCAAUUUGGCUAAAAUUUUGUAGAGAUGAUCUACUCAUAUAUACCUAAAAGAUGAAUGAUUGAGAUGAGAAAAUAUGAUCGAAAAGUAUGUCAAUUAAGAAAAUCCGUACCUUUUGAAUAAAUACGGAGGUCCGUAUCUGAAAAGACUUAUACACACACACAAUUAUUAUCAUGUCCAAAUAUUCUUAUUUAUUCAAAAGCUACGGAUUUUCUUAAUUGACUCAUUUGUAGAUCAUAUUUUCUCAUCUUAACCGUUUACAUUGUAGGUAUAUGUGAGUAGAUCAUCUCUACAAAUUUUCAACCAAAUUGAUAAUCGUUAAGGCAUUCAAAGAUGUGAUUUGGAACUAAAAAUAUGAACGGUUCAGGUUGAACAGUUUGAUUUAAUUCAUUACCGAUACCUUAACGAUCUCUAAAUUGACUGAAAAUUUGUAGAGAUGAUCUACUCAUAUAUACCUAUAAUGUAAACGGUUAAGAUGAGAAAAUAUUAUUGAAAAGUGGGUAAAAUUAAGAAAAUCCGUACCUUUUGAAUAAAUAAGGAUGUUUGAAUCUUAAAAGGCUUGUGUGUGUGUGUGUCCAUUCCCUUGAGUUUCGACAACCAAAACUAAAUCUUAUUGCUCUUGGCCUCAGCUCCAAUGGAGGCAAGAAUGGUCUUCAAGUUCUUGGCAAGGGACAAAGUUGCCGCCCAAAACAACGAGCCUAUACACGACAACCGAAAAUUCUUCUAUGCACCAAGGUGCAAGUGAACCUAGUAACUAAUAUGCAGUAUUUUGAUCCGGUUAUCUACGUCGCACUACAUGCAUAUAUACUAAUAUCGUUAACAUAAUUGAAACCCAAAAAAAUAGUCUCAAGUGUUUCCAACUAAGAAGAUGAGAACACAAGGUCGAAGAAGAUAUACUAUUAUUAUGGGCGUUGAAUUUGAUCGAAUCAAAAUUGAAAUUGAAAGAAAGGAACUUAGGGUCUCUAGUAUUCAUUCAAUCUUCUCAUACGGCGAUUUGAGCACUUAAACAUUAAUGGUGUAAAUGUAUCUUAGUGCGUAGAAUCUGCUUCCCACGACAACAACCUUCAUCGUUACUCUCUAAAGCUAGGGAUCAUACACGUGCGGUGGUAGAUGGAGGCUCGAUAAAGGAUUUUUAUUGUCCAUACAAAAAUGGAGAGCUUGACAAAGCUUUUUAUUGUCCCUAACAAAACGAAAAUUGUAAAUAAUUUUGCUUUAUGUGAUUUUUUUUAUCGAAUAAUAAUAUUCCUUUUCAAAAGAUAUACACAUGUCUAAAUGGAGAAAUUCUUCCAUACAACAUCCUUACCAUGUGGCUUGUGUGACCACCAAAUCGCAGAGUGACACGUGGCACUUUUUUGUCUACUUCAGCAAUGGUUUUUCUUCUUGGGAAAAUGCCCAUUUAGUCAAAAACAAUAAACACAAACCCCAUUCCAAUGAAAAUCUUUUGUCAUUUAGUCAAAAAGAAUAAACACAAACCCCAUUCCAAUGAAAAUCUUUUGUCCAAGCCCAUUCUAAUGAAUUUAAAAAAUAAGACGUUUAUAUCCUUAGUAAUCAAAUACACCAUAUCUCUCUCCCUCUCUCUUUUCCCGUCCCUCACUCUUCUCCAGAUCUAAAACUCUCUCUCUCAUCCCUCAGAUCAAGAAGCCUCUUGCUGGUCUCGUCGCUGGCAGCGUUGGCACAGCGGUAGGAAACCCGGCCGAUGCGGCUCUGUUCCCCUAGGUAUUGUCCUCCUCCUCAAUCCUUCGCCGACAGCGUCUGACGGAACUCUUCGAUUUGGGAUCGAUCUGUUGAUAGCGUUUCCGUUUAGAGUGACAACCUCACUCUCCGCCUAGUCCGCCACCAUCGUCAAGUCUCCCACCGGACAUCCCUCCUCUUUUGGCUACGACAUCGUCUGUGUCUUUUUUCUUUUCUUUUUUGGUUGCGUCCUUCUUUUUUUUUGUUGCGUUUUGGUAUGAAUUGUUGAGUUUUGGUAUGAAUUGUUGAGCCUGAAGUUUUGCAUUUGACUAUUACAUUGCGUUUAGUUCAUCACAUAUGCAAAUAGUUAGCAUGAACGGCAAAUAGUUAAACUUCUUUUUUCAUUUUUUUUCUUUCAUUGCAUUUUGAUUAGUUUCUCUAUUAAUAAGCUUUGUUUGGGGUCAGCAACUCAGGCCAAUCUUGAUUAUUGGGGGUUAUUGUAGAUUAUUGGGGUCAGUAACCUUUUUAAGGAAUCUAUAACUCGGUUAUUAGGGGUCGGUACCUCAGUUAUUGGGGGUCAGUAACUGAUUAUUGGAGGUCAGUAACCAAUUUAUUAGGGGUCAGUAACUGAUUAUUGAGGUUCAGUAACUAAUUUAUUGGGGGUCAAUACUGAUUAUUAAGGGUCAGUAACCAAGUUAUUGGGGGUCAGUAACCGAGUUACCGGUGACCGAAAUCCGACGACCAGAGAAAAUCUGAGUUACUAGGGGUCAAUAACUGGUGACCGAAGAAAUUCGGGCGAUCGGUGACCGGAGUCCGGCGACUAGUGACUGGAGUCCGGUGAGGUUCCCGGCAGAGUCUUCUCACUUUUUCACUUUCUCUCUCCUUAUAUAUGUUGAAGUGGUGAGGGUAAAAUUGUCUUAAAAAUAUACAAAAAUUAUUAUUUUAUUAUGUCUUUAAUAUAGAUUUGUAUAUUUAGGCAUAAAUAAGAACACCUUAUAUUGGAAUGGGCUCAUGUCUAUUAAAUUCAUUGGAAUGAGCAAUAAAAGGUUUAAAUUAGUACUAAAUUGACAUUUUCCAUUUUUUCUUUCUUUUUUCUUCUCUUGCGAAAUACUUCACUGUGUUUCUUUUCAUCUCUCUUCCUCUUCGUUUCCACUUUUCAAACUAUCUCUCCUCUCUAAUAAUCGAUCUGCAACACAACAAAUCAAGAAGUUGAAUAUCACCCUUAUCACGUCAUAAGCCAGAACAGACAGACCGCACACACUACCAGGACAAGCAUUUUAGCCGACGAAAAAUUUUCGUCGGCCUGUCAGCUUAAUUCGUCGGCUAAGAUCUUAGCCGACGACCUUUCGUCGGCUAAGAUUUCUUCGGGAAAAGGUCGUCUAUGGUGACUUUAGCCGACGACACAUGUAGAAGUCGUCGGCUAUAGUCCAGAGUUUAGCCGACGAAAAAAAUGUCGUCGGCUAUAGUCCAAACUUUAGCCGACGAAACAUUUAAGGUAUUUGUCGGCUAUAGUCUAGAGUUUAGCCGACGAAAAACAUGUCGUCGGUUAUUUCUCCGACUUUAGCCGACGAAUAAUUUAAAAUAUUCGUCGGCUAACGUUUGUAAUAAAAAAUAAAAAACAUCUAUAGCCGACGAAAUAUAGUCUAUUUCGUCGGCUUUAUAGGGAUUUAGCCAACGAAUUAAAGCGUAUUUCGUCGGCUAAAACUUAUUUUAAAAAAAAAUAAAAAACUUUAGCCGACGAAUUAAGGAGUUUUCGUCGGCUAUAAGUCCAUUCCAGUAAAAAAAAACCCCCGAAAUUUCUGAAUUACCAUUCCAAGCAAGCUGCAAAAUACACCAAAACAAUUUCAUAUAACCAACAACAAGCACAUAAAACUAUAUAAUUCAUUCAUCAACUACAGAAAAUCUAAAUAGUCUAAAUUAAUAUCCGCUUCUGGGGGCUACUGCGGAGGUUGCGACGGCUGGGGUAGCGGUAUGGGCGGAGGCAUGGGCGGAGCCGGAAGUCCCUGAAGCUGGGCAGCUGUAAAGUCCUGCAUGUACUGGAACAUCUGCUGCUGCUGGGCCUGCUGGAUGGCAUGUAUCUCGGCAACAUAGGCUGCCUGCGCGGCAUUAUAGGCUGCCUGCGAGGCAUUAUAGGCAGCCUGAGCAGCUUACUGUUCUCGUAGUCUCUGAACUUCCGACUCUAGCUGAGUCGUCCUGGUGGUCGUGGACGUGGUCCUGCUGCUGGUCGAGGCUGCCUUUCGUUGAAAUCCUGUAGUGGUCUUCAGGACCCCCUCGCCUUUCUUUCCUAGACCCCGGCAGUAGAAGUUGUUUGCUCUCGGUGGGAAGGCUGUGGUCAUGAUCCUCGCCCCAAUCGUCGCAUCCGAAGUGUCAGUCUGGGACAUGGCUUCGGACAUCUCUUCCUCCUGCGUGUCCAGCCAUGUCUCCCUCACUAUAGCACUCAUCACCUCGUCACUAGCCUCCCUCACCUUCGCCUAAUUGGAUAGGAAAAAAAUAAUUAAUUAACAUUUUCACAUAUAUAUAAGUAAAAUUUAAAAUUUAAAAUUUAAAAACUUAAGAUGACUUACAAUAUCCUCCUGGAAGUCAGGAUAUGCCUUCUCGUACGUAUAGACGUACCGGUUGACUUCUGGAUGUUCCCUGGCCGCCUCGUCCAUGAAGACAGCGAACGGUCUAGAACCGCCAUGAUGGUUCCUUGUGUUGCAUUGCCGGUUCUGAGAGUUCGCUCGGGAAACGGCCUUCAAAAAAAAAAAAAUUAUUAGUAAAAUAUUUAAAAACGGACGUACUUAAUGACAAAUUAACUAAUUAAUUUUUUAAAUACCUGUUUACGAGGGUUGUU